GGGGGUAAAGCUCUGUGGUAGAGCAUUUGACUGCAGAUCAAGAGGUCCCCGGUUCAAAUCUGGGUGCCCCUU
RNAcentral lists this transfer RNA (72 nucleotides) under Danio rerio (zebrafish). It matches the Rfam family "tRNA". Rfam says of the family: Transfer RNA (tRNA) molecules are approximately 80 nucleotides in length. Their secondary structure includes four short double-helical elements and three loops (D, anti-codon, and T loops). The record is from Rfam by way of RNAcentral. Lineage: Eukaryota; Metazoa; Chordata; Actinopteri; Cypriniformes; Danionidae.